AUUAGCAGCCAUAUCACCCUGCAGCUCACAGCUCACAGCUGGCAGCCCCAUUGAAGCUCAGCGGGUGUGAGCCUGACCAGUACCUGGAUGGGAGACCUACUGGGAAAGCUAAGGUUGCUGCUGGAA
Molecule: ribosomal RNA, 126 nt
Filed under: Lepisosteus oculatus (spotted gar)
Lineage: Eukaryota; Metazoa; Chordata; Actinopteri; Semionotiformes; Lepisosteidae
Source: RNAcentral